CCUACGGGAGGCAGCAGUAGGGAAUAUUGCACAAUGGGGGAAACCCUGAUGCAGCAACGCCGCGUGGGUGAUGAAGGUUUUCGGAUUGUAAACUCCUUUUAGUAGGGAAGAUAAUGACGGUAUCUGACGAAUAAGCACCGGCUAACUCCGUGCCAGCAGCCGCGGUAAUACGUAGGGGGCAAGCGUUGUCCGGAAUUACUGGGUGUAAAGGGAGCGUAGGUGGGGGCGUAAGUCAGGUGUGAAAACGCCGGGCUUAACCUGGAGACUGCACUGGAAACUGGGUGUCUUGAGGGCAGGAGAGGAAAGUGGAAUUCCGAGUGUAGCGGUGAAAUGCGUAGAUAUUAGGAGGAACACCAGCGGCGAAGGCGACCUUCUGGACCGUAACUGACGCUGAGGCGCGAAAGCGUGGGUAGCGAACGGGAUUAGAUACCCCAGUAGUC
RNAcentral lists this ribosomal RNA (440 nucleotides) under uncultured bacterium. Its description in RNAcentral is "partial 16S ribosomal RNA". It matches the Rfam family "Bacterial small subunit ribosomal RNA", at positions 338 to 795 of the family's 1533-position model. The record is from RNAcentral.